UUAAGUUCAGCGGGUAGUCCUACCUGAUUUGAGGUCACAUUAAAUGAAAAGUUGUCCAAGUCAAUGGACUGUUAGAAGCUGAACUCUGCCUUCACCGUCAAUAGCGUAGAUAGUUAUCACACCAAUGAAUGGGAGUCGACAAAUUGUUCCACUAAUACAUUUCAGGGGAGCCCAACCUCAAAAAGGCCAGCAAAAAAAAC
Molecule: unclassified non-coding RNA, 200 nt
Filed under: Cortinarius sp.
Lineage: Eukaryota; Fungi; Basidiomycota; Agaricomycetes; Agaricales; Cortinariaceae
Description: partial internal transcribed spacer 2
Source: RNAcentral